GAUGAACGCUGGCGGCGUGCCUAAUACAUGCAAGUCGAACGCUUCACUUCGGUGAAGAGUGGCGAACGGGUGAGUAAUACAUAAGUAACCUGGCAUCUACAGGGGGAUAACUGAUGGAAACGUCAGCUAAGACCGCAUAGGCGUAGAGAUCGCAUGAACUCUAUAUGAAAAGUGCUACGGGACUGGUAGAUGAUGGACUUAUGGCGCAUUAGCUUGUUGGUAGGGUAACGGCCUACCAAGGCGACGAUGCGUAGCCGACCUGAGAGGGUGACCGGCCACACUGGGACUGAGACACGGCCCAGACUCCUACGGGAGGCAGCAGUAGGGAAUUUUCGGCAAUGGGGGAAACCCUGACCGAGCAACGCCGCGUGAAGGAAGAAGUAAUUCGUUAUGUAAACUUCUGUCAUAGAGGAAGAACGGUGGAUAUAGGGAAUGAUAUCCAAGUGACG
This 449-nucleotide ribosomal RNA is filed under the name uncultured bacterium. RNAcentral's name for it is "bacterial SSU rRNA". It matches the Rfam family "Bacterial small subunit ribosomal RNA", at positions 28 to 474 of the family's 1533-position model. The record is from RNAcentral.